Molecule: ribosomal RNA, 661 nt
Filed under: uncultured bacterium
Lineage: Bacteria
Description: bacterial SSU rRNA
Rfam family: Bacterial small subunit ribosomal RNA
Source: RNAcentral
GUCGAGCGGAAUGAUGAGAGCUUGCUCUCUGAUUUUAGCGGCGGACGGGUGAGUAACACGUGGGCAACCUGCCCUACAGAUGGGGAUAACUCCGGGAAACCGGGGCUAAUACCGAAUAAUCAGUUUGUCCGCAUGGACAAACUCUGAAAGACGGUUUCGGCUGUCACUGUAGGAUGGGCCCGCGGCGCAUUAGCUAGUUGGUGGGGUAAUGGCCUACCAAGGCGACGAUGCGUAGCCGACCUGAGAGGGUGAUCGGCCACACUGGGACUGAGACACGGCCCAGACUCCUACGGGAGGCAGCAGUAGGGAAUCUUCCACAAUGGACGAAAGUCUGAUGGAGCAAUGCCGCGUGAGCGAAGAAGGUUUUCGGAUCGUAAAGCUCUGUUGUAAGGGAAGAACACGUACGGGAGUAACUGCCCGUGCCAUGACGGUACCUUAUUAGAAAGCCACGGCUAACUACGUGCCAGCAGCCGCGGUAAUACGUAGGUGGCAAGCGUUGUCCGGAAUUAUUGGGCGUAAAGCGCGCGCAGGCGGUUCUUUAAGUCUGAUGUGAAAGCCCACGGCUCAACCGUGGAGGGUCAUUGGAAACUGGAGAACUUGAGUACAGAAGAGGAAAGCGGAAUUCCACGUGUAGCGGUGAAAUGCGUAGAGAUGUGGAGGA